Molecule: long non-coding RNA, 1598 nt
Organism: Pipra filicauda (Wire-tailed manakin)
Lineage: Eukaryota; Metazoa; Chordata; Aves; Passeriformes; Pipridae
Exons: 3
Source: RefSeq, a predicted model, not a curated record
CGAUGGCGGGGGCGGUCUCGUUCGAAAUGGCGGCGGCGCCGAGGGGCUCUCGGUUCCCUCGCGGGGGGAGAGACCCAAACUGCUGUGCUGGGACAGGGGCUGCGUCGAGGGAAAUACCAAUAGAGGCUACUGGGUUGUGUAACAGCCUCCAACAACUGAUAUGCAUGUGGUGAGGUCCCAGUUGAUCUAUAAGGGAAUAAACCUCUUGCGGAGCUAAAAGACUCAAGCAUGGCUAUAUUGCAUUUUCUUAUCUUGAGCCAGUUCCAAAGUGUCUUCAAAGUUGAGCAAGAACUGACAAAACACACUGAAAGAAUAUGGGCAGAGAUGGCUGAUGACUGACUGUUUCUCUCUGUGGCAUUUAUUUAAACAGAGGACAAAUACAAUUUUUGCAGAAGCAAUGCAGAUACUGAUCUCACAGCUCCAGCAAUAUGACCCAGCAUUGUACUGACCUUGAAGGAAAGAGAUCUGUCCUGAAGAAUUUUGGUCAAAGGAGUUUAUGGUUAUGAAUUGCAUUUCAGCAAAACCAUUAUUCAUUACAAUUUCUUGUUUUUAACUAAAUCUGCACAAAUAAUAUUAAAAAAAAAAUCCACUUCCAAAGCUGCCAUUAAACUCCCGAGAAUUCUGCUCUUCCAUGAUUUCAACUGAAGUCUGCUCAUACUGCCAGAAAGGAACAGUUACUGAAUUUCCAUGCUGAGUUUGCUGCUGCCAACAUGUUUGGUCAUGUAAACAAGUUCACUGAAAAGUCGCUCAUGCUAAAAAGAAAAACAGAUUCACAACGAGGGAUCUGCAGGCCAAAAAUGCUGGGUUUGGUCAGAUGGCCUAAAAAAUAGUAAAAAACAAAAAAUCCUGUCUGAGAGUCAUUCACUGGAGAUAUGCACUGUUCCUCUUUCUUCUGUCUAUAUAGAUAUUCCAGGAGAAUCAUCUGACCACCUGAGAGAGUGACAGCUCCAUCCUCACAAGAGGAGGUUGCAAUGACACUCUUACUUUUCUUUUUAAUUUCCGCUAAUUAACUCUAUGAUGCUUAUGUGAAGCAAGUCAGUAAUACUGAAGAAUGGUUUUAGAGAGAUUUAGUUAUUGUCCCUUCUGAGAUUCCCAGUUUCCAGGCUGUACCUAUCUUGCUUUAGACUGUGAAGGAUGUGCAGCAGGGAAUAUCUGUAUUCAGACUUUCCUGAAGCAUAACCUUCUUUUACUAAAGAAACACUGAAAGAACACAGUUCACAUUAGGCCUUUUCCCAAAUUCAAAGGAUCCCAAGACCAGAACUCCCCCUUUCCUACAGAAGUAUUAAUAUCUUCUUUUUUAUAUCACUUAAAUUCAUUCUGUUCUUAAAAGCUUUAUUAUUUUUUAUUCUCUAGAGCACUUCAAUCACCUAGUGUUUAGUUACUUCAUAAUAUUUUAUUAUUUGAAGAUUUUGUACACAAACCAUUGAUUUGUCCCUCAACCGUAAUCUUGUGUGGUUUUAUUUUCAGCACUGUUCUGCGUAUUCUUUGCUUAUCCUUGAAACCUACAAUUUAGGUUUUGCAAAUAAAUAAUGGAAAGGAUUGUGUUGGGCACUUGUGAGUGACUGGUACCUAAAAAUGUUACACAGUCAGUCCCAUUU